AUUGAACGCUGGCGGCGUGCCUAACACAUGCAAGUCGAGCGGUAACAGGUGUAGCAAUACAUGCUGACGAGCGGCGAACGGGUGAGUAAUGCUUUGGAAUCUUCCCAGUAGUGGGGAAUAACCAGUCGAAAGACUGGCUAAUACCGCAUACGUCGGAAACGGGAAAGCGGGGGAUCGUAAGACCUCGCGCUAUUGGAUGAGCCAAAGUCGGAUUAGCUAGUUGGUGAGGUAACGGCUCACCAAGGCGACAAUCCGUAGCUGGUCUGAGAG
Molecule: ribosomal RNA, 270 nt
Filed under: uncultured bacterium
Lineage: Bacteria
Description: partial 16S ribosomal RNA
Rfam family: Bacterial small subunit ribosomal RNA
Source: RNAcentral